GAUGAACGCUGGCGGCGUGCCUAAUACAUGCAAGUCGAGCGAACGGACGAGAAGCUUGCUUCUCUGAUGUUAGCGGCGGACGGGUGAGUAACACGUGGAUAACCUACCUAUAAGACUGGGAUAAUUUCGGGAAACCGGAGCUAAUACCGGAUAAUAUUUUGAACCGCAUGGUUCAAUAGUGAAAGACGGUCUUGCUGUCACUUAUAGAUGGAUCCGCGCUGCAUUAGCUAGUUGGUAAGGUAACGGCUUACCAAGGCAACGAUGCGUAGCCGACCUGAGAGGGUGAUCGGCCACACUGGAACUGAGACACGGUCCAGACUCCUACGGGAGGCAGCAGUAGGGAAUCUUCCGCAAUGGGCGAAAGCCUGACGGAGCAACGCCGCGUGAGUGAUGAAGGUCUUCGGAUCGUAAAACUCUGUUAUUAGGGAAGAACAAAUGUGUAAGUAACUGUGCACAUCUUGACGGUACCUAAUCAGAAAGCCACGGCUAACUACGUG
Molecule: ribosomal RNA, 497 nt
Filed under: uncultured bacterium
Lineage: Bacteria
Description: partial 16S ribosomal RNA
Rfam family: Bacterial small subunit ribosomal RNA
Source: RNAcentral